GGAUUAGAUACCCUGGUAGUCCACGCCGUAAACGAUGGGCACUAGGCAGGCGAGGUUCCGAUGCCUUGCUUGCUGCAGCUAAUGUAUUAAGUGCCCCGCCUGGGGAGUACAGUCGCAAGGCCGAAACUCAAAGGAAUUGACGGGGGCUCACACAAGCGGUGGAGCAUGUGGUUUAAUUCGAAACAACGCGCAAAACCUUACCUGGGUUUGACAUGCACGGAUUAGUCGCUGGAAACAGUGGUGACGCUCGCAAGAGUGGAACGUGCACAGGUGCUGCAUGGCUGUCGUCAGCUCGUGCCG
Molecule: ribosomal RNA, 300 nt
Filed under: uncultured bacterium
Lineage: Bacteria
Description: bacterial SSU rRNA
Rfam family: Bacterial small subunit ribosomal RNA
Source: RNAcentral